GACGAACGCUGGCGGCGUGCUUAACACAUGCAAGUCGAACGGAAAGGCCUCUUUCGGGGGGUACUCGAGUGGCGAACGGGUGAGUAACACGUGAGUAACCUGCCCUUGACUUUGGGAUAACUUCAGGAAACUGGGGCUAAUACCGGGUAGGAGCUCCUGCUGCAUGGUGGGGGUUGGAAAGUUUCGGCGGUUGGGGAUGGACUCGCGGCUUAUCAGCUUGUUGGUGGGGUAGUGGCUUACCAAGGCUUUGACGGGUAGCCGGCCUGAGAGGGUGACCGGCCACAUUGGGACUGAGAUACGGCCCAGACUCCUACGGGAGGCAGCAGUGGGGAAUAUUGCACAAUGGGUGGAAGCCCGAUGCAGCAACGCCGUGUGCGGGAUGACGGCCUUCGGGUUGUAAACCGCUUUCGCUCAUGACGAAGCUUUGUGUGACGGUAGUGGGUAAAGAAGCACCGGCUAACUACGUG
RNAcentral lists this ribosomal RNA (467 nucleotides) under uncultured bacterium. Its description in RNAcentral is "partial 16S ribosomal RNA". It matches the Rfam family "Bacterial small subunit ribosomal RNA", at positions 28 to 507 of the family's 1533-position model. The record is from RNAcentral.